UUAUAUAUGGAGGUUCUGUAAAUGCAGCCAAUUGUGCCGAGCUAGCAAAGAAAGAAGAUAUUGACGGCUUCCUUGUUGGUGGUGCCUCUUUGAAGGGUCCGGAUUUUGCCACUAUUAUCAACUCGGUGACUUCCAAGAAAGUUGCAGCCUGAUGUAACCCUUCUGUAGAAAUAAAUGACCCAGAGGCAGCGAGACGGCUACCACACCAUAUUGCUUGAUAGAGAUACUUCGUGUUCAAUCACCGUGCUUGUUUUGGCACACGAGGG
This 266-nucleotide unclassified non-coding RNA is filed under the name Hevea brasiliensis (rubber tree). Lineage: Eukaryota; Viridiplantae; Streptophyta; Magnoliopsida; Malpighiales; Euphorbiaceae. The record is from RNAcentral.